Molecule: ribosomal RNA, 497 nt
Filed under: uncultured bacterium
Lineage: Bacteria
Description: partial 16S ribosomal RNA
Rfam family: Bacterial small subunit ribosomal RNA
Source: RNAcentral
GAUGAACGCUGGCGGCGUGCCUAAUACAUGCAAGUCGAGCGAACAGACGAGGCGCUUGCUCCUCUGACGUUAGCGGCGGACGGGUGAGUAACACGUGGAUAACCUACCUAUAAGACUGGGAUAACUUCGGGAAACCGGAGCUAAUACCGGAUAAUAUAUUGAACCGCAUGGUUCAAUAGUGAAAGACGGUGUUGCUGUCACUUAUAGAUGGAUCCGCGCCGCAUUAGCUAGUUGGUAAGGUAACGGCUUACCAAGGCAACGAUGCGUAGCCGACCUGAGAGGGUGAUCGGCCACACUGGAACUGAGACACGGUCCAGACUCCUACGGGAGGCAGCAGUAGGGAAUCUUCCGCAAUGGGCGAAAGCCUGACGGAGCAACGCCGCGUGAGUGAUGAAGGUCUUCGGAGCGUAAAACUCUGUUAUUAGUGAAGAACAAAUGUGUAAGUAACUAUGCACGUCUUGACGGUACCUAAUCAGAAAGCCACGGCUAACUACGUG